Long non-coding RNA from Oxyura jamaicensis (ruddy duck), 1207 nucleotides. RefSeq lists it as uncharacterized. The record is from RefSeq and is a predicted model, not a curated record. Lineage: Eukaryota; Metazoa; Chordata; Aves; Anseriformes; Anatidae. The transcript has 2 exons.
AAAGAUAGCUUGAAAUAUUUGAUUUAGAAUGAUUUAAAGAAGGAGCUUUUAUGUGUUUUCCAAUUUAUUGAUUUUUGUUAAUCAAAUCGGUGGUUCAAACUGGAAUGGGAAUAAUCGUACUAUACCAGCAGGAGAGAAGCGGGUGUCAUAUUUGUGGUGUUCCUCAACUUCUUUCAGCAUUCUAGUGUUUUUUUCACGAGACAGUGAGAUGACUCUUAAAGUUUUACUGGCAAACACGAGAGUAACCUGAAAGUGAACUACAUGCUACCAGAAGUGCUGUAAUUAUUUUGAGAUUAACAAAGAGAAGGCAUCUUUAAAUGAUGAGAUAUUCUCAGAUUUGUUUACCUGACAUAGUACCUGUCCACAAUUGCUUACACAAAUACUGCUCUUGGCUAAACAAAAUCUUGUUUUAUGUCAAGAACCAGUGGAUGGAACAUGAAAGAAAUAGGCUUGAAGCAAACACUCCUUUAGUACAAAAUAGUUGCUGUCAAAUAUGCUCCCUUGAUUGUCGUUGCAUCCUCUUUACCCAGAACAGGAGUAGGAAGGUCAUUACAGAACUAAAACCUGUGUGGAAAGAUAGGGUCUGGAAAGUUGUACUCGAUGAGCCUUGCAGGUCCAUUCCAACUUGGGAUACUCUGUUCUAAGAACUUUUCGCAGAAGUCCCUCAGAAGUUACUUCUUGUGUUCCCACGUGCACAGAACUAUCUGGCCUGUCCCCGAGACAAAAGUGAGAUGUGUACACACAUCAUACCCCCAUCAAAAUUCCCAGAUCUAACCUCGCAGGUCCUGAAACGUGAUGUACUUUAAUGCACACAUGUUGCCUUGGAAACCAUGUAGGUAAAACUGUGCUGUUCUGCAAACUCUUAACAGCUGAUGGACAAACAUCUGAAUGCUUUGGGAGGGAAAUAACAUCUCUGUCAAACCCAAUUCUCAGAGGAUUCCUACAAAUGUAAAUGGUAAUCCUAUACAUCUAUUUCUAGAAAUACUUAGGAUCUAUGUUCGGUCUCCUUCACCCUCCUGAUGUUAUUACACUGGCUGUAACUUACCUGUUUCUCUGCUCAAAGAAGAGGUGCCCAUCAUUUUUCUCCUGCUAGUCCCUCCAUGCUCAAUUCCUAGUUUCUUUUUCAGAUCGUGAUAGGCAGAGAAAAGUGUAAGCUUAAAGCAGCUGCUUCCAAAAUUAAGCAAAGUUGCUUAACAUAUGAACACAA